CCUGGGCGGAGACUACUUUUUAAAAGGUCACAAUCAACAUUCAUUGCUGUCGGUGGGUUAACUGUGUGGACAAGCUCACUGAACAAUGAAUGCAACUGUGGCCCCGCAU
This 109-nucleotide microRNA precursor is filed under the name Vicugna pacos (alpaca). Its description in RNAcentral is "microRNA 181b-1 (ENSVPAG00000016672.1)". The stretch from base 25 to 105 matches the Rfam family "mir-181 microRNA precursor family". Rfam says of the family: In this case the mature sequence comes from the 5' arm of the precursor. The extents of the hairpin precursors are not generally known and are estimated based on hairpin prediction. The products are thought to have regulatory roles through complementarity to mRNA. The record is from RNAcentral. Lineage: Eukaryota; Metazoa; Chordata; Mammalia; Artiodactyla; Camelidae.